RNAcentral lists this long non-coding RNA (229 nucleotides) under Ceratitis capitata (Mediterranean fruit fly). Its description in RNAcentral is "uncharacterized LOC110118915, transcript variant X1". Lineage: Eukaryota; Metazoa; Arthropoda; Insecta; Diptera; Tephritidae. The record is from RNAcentral.
CCUUUUUUUGUAUCGUGACCAACACAGUUACAAUUUUUAUAUUCAAGUUGUCAAGUUCUCUUAUUUUUUCGCCUUCGUUAGAAAUUUACUUUAUUUUAUUGCGAAAAAAUAGCUGAACAAAGAUUGAAAAGCCUAACAAUAUAAAUUUAAAGAUUCAUAUUAAACAAUUUGGAUUGUGGUUUUCAAAACUGGAUAUUUUCAAGGUCGAUACACUGCCAAGUGUAUCAAA